RNAcentral lists this ribosomal RNA (311 nucleotides) under uncultured bacterium. RNAcentral's name for it is "bacterial SSU rRNA". It matches the Rfam family "Bacterial small subunit ribosomal RNA", at positions 28 to 334 of the family's 1533-position model. The record is from RNAcentral.
GACGAACGCUGGCGGCGCGCCUAACACAUGCAAGUCGAACGAGCGAGAGAGAGCUUGCUUUCUCAAGCGAGUGGCGAACGGGUGAGUAACGCGUGAGGAACCUGCCUCAAAGAGGGGGACAACAGUUGGAAACGACUGCUAAUACCGCAUAAGCCCACAGGUCGGCAUCGACCAGAGGGAAAAGGAGCAAUCCGCUUUGAGAUGGCCUCGCGUCCGAUUAGCUGGUUGGUGGGGUAAAGGCCUACCAAGGCGACGAUCAGUAGCCGAGCUGAGAGGCUCAACGGCCACAUUGGGACUGAGAUACGGCCCAG